RNAcentral lists this long non-coding RNA (3548 nucleotides) under Brassica napus (rape). RNAcentral's name for it is "long non-coding RNA (BNAP_LNC010164)". The record is from RNAcentral. Lineage: Eukaryota; Viridiplantae; Streptophyta; Magnoliopsida; Brassicales; Brassicaceae.
GCGGCAACAGGCCCACUAACAGGCCCAACUCAGCCAAUUGGUCCAACCAUUCACAGGCCCAACUAAGCCUGAACCGGGACCGCGUCGGUAUUCCUCCCGGGGUCAACCUCUACGGCGAUGACUCCUCCCCCUUGACAGGGUUCUCUCCUUCGCCCAUCGAUCAUAGACGGAGAAUCGCAAUAUCGUAAUGAAACUGCGGCUUUCGAAUCCUGAUGAAACGCGAAUCGAGAAGCCAUGACGAAACAGAGCUUGUGAAAUCCCGAUGAACGCGAAACCUAGUGAAACGGAGCUUGUGAAACCAAUGAAUGCGAAAUUCGAUUUUGAGUACGCCCUAAUUUUGGGACCAAAGACUUGGUUAUAAAAAACAACUAUUUAUUUUAACUUUUCGUUCAAAAUAAAAUGCUUGUAAAGUCCUUUAUAGCCUUAACUAAUUUUAGAAGCUACAAACAUAGUCGGAUUGUCCAUUAGGCCCGGGGAUAUCCAUAAAUGGUAAUGCACCUAGAUACAUUCUUAUAGGAAGUCAGAGUCAGCGAGCGUCAAGAUAUAGUUACUAUCAUGAAAACAUAAUAUAACUUUGCAAAUAUGAAGGAUUAGCAAAAUAUUGUUGACAAAAUUGAGUGAAUUUAUGGCUUACUCUUCAGAGUUUUGCAGAGUGCAGCUUCGGUCAAGUGCAUUAGGAAGGAACAUAUAUAAAACAUAUUAAUAUUCUCUUUGGGUAAUGUUAGAAAGAAAAUCAAAAGGAUAUUGAUAGGAUAGGUACAAUAUAUUUCGUGACAAAACGUGACUAUUUUAGUUACGAUAUUUUCACGACAAAAUCGUGGUUUUUCGACUCUGAUUAGUAUGAUUUAAAAUGGCUACGAACAUAUAGCCACAAUUUUUUUUGUGGCUUUUCGUAGUUAACUCUUCAUAUACCCAUAAAAAUUUUCUAUAGCUACAAAAUGGCUAUAGCCAAUUUUUGUACUAGUGUUUUUUAUACUAAUUGUAAGUUCAGAGGGUUUAGUGACAAUUUUUCUUAUGUUACAACUGGAUUUUUGGUUUGUUAAUUGGAUUAUAUUGUCAAGAUCAUCUUGUUAAAGUUAUUAUUUUCACAUUUUAUUUUACCAAAUAGAAUACCUAUACAAAAAUAUGGAAAAAAUACAUAAUUGUUGGAUAUGGGCCUCACUAAGUACCAAGGCCCAGGAGCUAACUCGGCCCGAUCCCAAAACUGAGCCCAUGACAGGAGCGACGUGACAAAGCCCAGAAAAGGAAGCAAGGCCCGCGCCGAAUGCCAUCAUCACAUCGGGGUAAGCGGUUCACCAACUCCCUGAGACGACCUGAAAACACGCCACCGAACGACAGGAAGGAAUAUGCCGAGACUCCUACCACGGCGCCGAACCUACUCACUGACAAUUCGCCGAUCACUGUAGCGGGUCAGAAAAUAAUCAUAACGCAUCCACAAAACCACGCAACUAAAGUCUAUAAAAAGAGGAAAAAAGAUUACGAAGAGGGGGCAGCGAAAUAGAGAAAGAAAGACUAGAGAGAUAAAGUAGAGAGCAUCCCGAGUUCGUCUUUACGACUACAAGUUCUUCUUUUAUUCUUCGCUUCGGCUUUUUGUAAACACUUCAUUAAAGAAAUCUUUGGCCCCAUUAAUCAUACUUAUAUCUUUGUUUAGUCUAUAAAUCCCUUGUUACUGGAUUUAGGAUUCAACAAUAAUCAUACAUUAAAAACAAACAUAGAAUACUAAAAGCAAAAAAAAAACAACCACAUAUACAACUAAGGAAAAGUAGAAAGAGAAGCCAGUCCAGUGAGGUGAAGAUAUGGUUGGAUCCAAGUGAGGUAGCUUGUAACACCUCAAUCCAGACACUAAGUUGAUAAGUUCGGAAAAGUUCCUAUGGUUCGACCAAGAGCAAAUAAAGCCUAAUAGUUCACCUUUUAAGACCUGUUAUUCUUAAGUAAAGUAUAUUAUGUGAUUCAUGUGACAGAGUCUAAACGUCUGUAUAUUAAAGUCAAUAGGAUAAACAGAUCUUUUAUUUAUUUCACAAAGAAUUCGUUACAACCCGAGUUUGCCGUAAGGCUAUUACAAAGUAAACGAUCCAAAUCACUCUAUCAAACUAUCCAUCCAUCUUUGGCUUCGAGUCUUCACGGCUAAGCCAGUUUCUUCCCACGAUCACUUACGGUUCAUGAAACCAACAAUUACAUAAGGAAUCUAUCGAUAACUUAAUGAGUUAGUUUUCAACGCAUGCAUGUUAUGUUCGGAAUCUUUCUACGUCUAACCCGAGUUUCCCUUAUAACUCUCGACUUUCACAGUCAACUUGGCGUGCCAGUAAAGUUCGGUUUUCAGAUCUAGAUCGAUCCAACUAACCACCAAACCAUCCCAAAACACUCAUAAUUUGAUCAAGCUUAUCGGCUAUGAUCCUCAAUCAAUCGCAUCCCGGCCUUAAGCCAUGGACUUCGUGAUCAAACCGGCUUACAGCCAUGGUCUAUACUCGCCCUAAUUCCCUUCACUUGCCUCCCCUAAAUACUCUUUUUCUCUCCUUCUUCUUACAAACUUAGAUCUCUCUCACUCUCCUUUUUUGAAACUAACUUAGAUCUCUUUUUUCAAUUAAAACAUGUAAGUUGUGUGUGAUGCUAUUAUAGUUAUGCAUGUAUCAUAUCUUUUGUUUAGUUUAGGUUUUGAAAUUUUAUAAUUAGAGAUUUUAUGGGCUAGAAAUAAGUUAGAUCUAUUAGGUUGUGUUUGAUUUAGGUUAUAUUUAGAAGAAAAAUAGAAUCAAGUACUAAUAAGAAGAUAAUGAACCAAAGAAUAUUUAUCAAUUAAGGACCGGCCCUGAGAAGAAGAUGACCAAAUACACAACUGGUACGAGCAAGAACUUACAACAAUCAAUCAAAUCACAAAAGAACGAAGUCGAGUUAAGAAGAUGAUGAACAAUAAUAAUGUUUAUCAAUUAAGACUCAGAAGGAGAUGAACAAAUAUACAAGAACUUGCAACAAAAUCGAAUUAAGAAGAAGCACAAGAAGAACGAGCUCAAAUUUACGAAGAAGACGACUUACAGAAAGAAAGAAGAGCAAUGCUAACUCUACUUACGAAUUACUUGAAAGAGGAAGAUGCUAACCGAAAAAUAACUAGCAAUUACGACUAACCAAGAACGGACUCUUGAAAAGAUUGAGAGAGGGAAAGGUCACGAACCGUAUUGAUUAUAUAAAUCGGCGGCAACAGGCCCACUAACAGGCCCAACUCAGCCAAUUGGUCCAACCAUUCACAGGCCCAACUAAGCCUGAACCGGGACCGCGUCGGUAUUCCUCCCGGGGUCAACCUCUACGGCGAUGACUCCUCCCCCUUGACAGGGUUCUCUCCUUCGCCCAUCGAUCAUAGACGGAGAAUCGCAAUAUCGUAAUGAAACUGCGGCUUUCGAAUCCUGAUGAAACGCGAAUCGAGAAGCCAUGACGAAACAGAGCUUGUGAAAUCCCGAUGAACGCGAAACCUAGUGAAACGGAGCUUGUGAAACCAAUGAAUGCGAAAUUCGAUUUUGAGUACGCCCUAAUUUUGGGACCAAAGACUUGGUUAUAAAAAA